AUCUCGGCUGCCCUCCGGCCACGCCCCUGUUUCUGGAAGCCUCCAGGCUGCAACUUAGGCUCUCUUGCCAAAUGUGGAUGUCCCGAUCCUUUGUCACCUAGACCUUGACAAAUUAGGACAAUCUGAGGUGAGAGCUACCCACCCAUCUGCCUUACAGGAAUAACCCUAUUCGCUUGGAGGACAAAGCCAGCCUAAGAAAGUGGCCAGUCAGGGCAUAUACCGCCGUCUUCAGCCAGACUGCCCAGCCUUCCUGAGAUUGGCCAGGCAUCACUUCUGGCACGCCACCGUGAUGGCCAAGGUGACACUUGCUGUCUAGACUGAAGCCUAUUGGCUUCCCGCUCUAAGAGCUUUGGCCUCAGAGUUUCCAAGAGAUGAGCCCCCCGGCAGUGGUCAGAUGGUAGCCCUCAUCAGAACCCCAGCAUCCCCACUCCAUCAACAGAAGCCAGGACACAGGCCUGUGACCAGUCUACCAGCAGACAGGAAAACAGAGCUGAAGAAAGGGAGCAGAACAGGAUGCCUGCCUCAGCACAUGCUGCCAACCCACAAGACGCCUUUACAAUCCUCCUCUCUGCUGUGGAUACCCCUGCGGCAGCCUGGUGGGACGCUCUGAUGUUCAAGCUGUGGCCAGCACUAGGAUCUCCCCCAAAGAUGCAGUGGAAGCACUCACUGGGUGGGGUGGGCCUGUACCCAGCACAGUGGGGCUGGGGUACUUACUCGGCUUUCUAACUUUUUGGGUUUUUGUUUUUUUUUUUUAAAGAUUUUUUUGUUUUGGUUUGGUUUGAUUUUGGUUUUCGAGACAGGGUUUCUCCAGCCCUGGCUGUCCUGGAACUCACU
Molecule: non-coding RNA, 834 nt
Organism: Peromyscus maniculatus bairdii (prairie deer mouse)
Lineage: Eukaryota; Metazoa; Chordata; Mammalia; Rodentia; Cricetidae
Source: RefSeq, a predicted model, not a curated record